AUCAUGCUAGGAUGUCCUUGUUCUAUUGCAAGUCAAUCUAGAGGUGUUUUAGGUUGAGUAAAAUUUGUGCGCCGUUGCCGGGGAAGGUUUUAGGCGCUUUAAUUGUGUCACUUUGUUUUCUGUUUUUACUUGCUUUGUUUUUUUCCUUUUUCUUGUUUUUGUCUUCUGCCGGUGUGUUUGAUCCAUUUGUUAGUGUAGUGUAAGCUGGGACGCCGUAGUCUGAAAAGAAAACUUGUGUCUCCUUUGGACAACACUAACAUAGGUAUUUUUAGAAAGAACUGCAUCAAAGAAGUUUUUGCAGACAGAGCAGACGAUUCUGAGUCUGGUUCUGACGGAAAGGCACGUGAUAGAGCAGACGAUUCUGAGUCUGGCUCUCAUGGAAAGGC
RNAcentral lists this long non-coding RNA (386 nucleotides) under Salvia miltiorrhiza (redroot sage). RNAcentral's name for it is "long non-coding RNA (SMIL_LNC009998)". The record is from RNAcentral. Lineage: Eukaryota; Viridiplantae; Streptophyta; Magnoliopsida; Lamiales; Lamiaceae.